RNAcentral lists this ribosomal RNA (2040 nucleotides) under Triticum aestivum (bread wheat). RNAcentral describes it as "partial small subunit ribosomal RNA". The record is from RNAcentral. Lineage: Eukaryota; Viridiplantae; Streptophyta; Magnoliopsida; Poales; Poaceae.
AUGCCGUCCAUCCGCGCGCUCGUGCGCCUCGCCGCCCCCCACCCGCCGCGCGCCGGCGCGCCGGAAGAGAGCCCCCCGCAGCGGCGUUCCGGCUCCUCCCCCUCCUCCUCGUCGGCCUCGGCGCCCGCCAGGCCGGCGGCGGCGCCGCUGCCGCCGCAGGGCCCGGUGUACCCGCUGCGGGACUUCCCGGGGAGCGAGGCGGCCGCGCUGUGCGGCGCGUUCCGGGACAACGCGCGGUGGCUGCUGGCGCGCUGGGCCCCCGUCGACGCCGCCGGGUCCUCCCCGGGCCCCGCCGCGCGCCGGGCGUUCCUCUCCGACGACCGCACCGGCGCCGUCGUCCCCGUCGUCGCCGUCGAGGUGCCCGCCGCCUCCUCCCCCGCCCCGCUCUGCGGCCUCUGCCGCUGCGCCGGUUGGAGCCACCACUGGGUGUCAAAACGGAGCUACCAUUUCAUCAUCCCGGCGGACGCGGACUGGGACCGGCAUUUCGGUACCGACGGGCUGCUUGGGCGCAGCGACCACCUCCUCCAUGGCCUCAUCCACUGCAAUGGCUUUGGCCACCUCUUCGCCCUCCGCGGCCGCGACGGUGGCUCGGCUUUCCUCUCUGGUCAUGACAUAAUGGAUAUCUGGGAUCGCCUCUGCUCUGCUCUCCGUGUCAGGGCCGUGUCUCUGGUGGAUUUUUCUCGGAAGCACUCUAUGGACCUCCGCCUCCUGCUCGGUGUGGCAAAUGGUGAGACAUGGUUCACCCGCUGGGGAUACUGCCUCGGCAGGAGAUGCUUCAACAUGUCUACCUCUGCCUAUGCCACUGCUUUGGAAUCUCUGGCUUCACUGCAUGUUGACCAUCUUCGCAGCCGACAUGUUCGUCGUGUGGUCACCAUCUACCGGCGCCUAUCCAACAAGCCUCUGAUCACUGUCAGCGAGUUCCUCCGCUGCCUCCUUGACUGGAAACACCAUGAAGCACCCCUUUCACCACCUCCUGUGAAGCCAUGCUCCCGGCUCCCAUUCCUGCUGCCGAGGCCGUGUACGAUGAAGAGGAGCCCGCCGUGCAAGCGGUUUGAGGAUGUGAUUGACCUGCUCCAUUGUCGAUGGUCCAAGAAGCGUAUGCUCAAUGCAGCAGAGGUUGUUGUUGAAAAGCUGCUUGAGCAUGGAAAUGAUGCUGAGAUGACAAGGCAGGCAGUGCGAGAUGCUGCCAGGGUUGAGAUCGGCGAUACUGGUCUCCUUGACUUUGUCAUCAAGUCCCUUGGUGACACCGUUGUUGGCAACCAUAUUGUGCGCCGUCUUCCCAGCACUGUGACGCGUGUGCUCACGUUCAGCCUUGAGGAAUGGGGAGAGCCAGUGCAGAUGGAUGUUGACGUACAGAACACCCGUCCUGCAGCACCGUGGCCGAGCACAGUGGAUGUCGAGCGGGAUCUGUGUGCUGUCUACCGGGCAAUGGUGGAGGCGCUAAGUGGGGCAGCACAGGCCGUGCUGGACUGCAAGCACUGGGUGAAGUGCUGGGGCCUUGGGGAUGAGUCUGACGAUCAGCUAAGGUUCCUCGUUGAGUGGCGACCGCAGCCUUGGGAAGCUGCUGAGCUCACACGGCCACUGCCGUCAGGGGAGAUCGUUGUGGUGCCAGUCCAUACAUCGAUAGGCGAGCUUAUCAUCGAGGCAGAGCAUGCGCUGAGGGACACGUACUGCUUCUUUGAGGAGUUCCAGGCUGAGUCGCUCGACGGCAUUACUGGGGAGAAGUGGGAUCCAGUGGUGCUUGGUGGAGCAGAGUCUGGGGACACGAUCGGCGUGCAUGGCCACGGGGCGGACAUGGAGACCGGGCUGCGGUGCGAGGGCGGGCUUGACAUGUGGGAAGUGAGGUGCGUGUGCGGUGCGCGGGAUGAUGACGGCGAGCGCAUGGUGGCCUGCGACGCUUGCGAUGUAUGGCACCACACGCGGUGUGUCGGCAUUGCGGACAGCGACGCGGUGCCGCCAUUGUUCCUGUGCAUACUCUGCGGCGGCGCGCUCCUAGCAGCCGGCCCGAUUCUGGAGGAGGCACUAACGCUAGCCAAGUGA